Molecule: long non-coding RNA, 5290 nt
Organism: Lycium barbarum (goji berry)
Lineage: Eukaryota; Viridiplantae; Streptophyta; Magnoliopsida; Solanales; Solanaceae
Exons: 3
Source: RefSeq, a predicted model, not a curated record
CUCUUAUAAUAUCAGAAAAUAAUAAAAUAAGAUACCUACAAUUAUUAUUAUUAUUAUUAUAGAAAUAAAAACUCACGCUCCAAUAUUUCCUUCAUCACUUUGGGGAAAUCCAAAACCUAAUAGUUCAUAUCCCUGGCAAUUUGGUCUUGCUAUUGGUGAUUUGUUGUUUCCUCAAAAAUACUGGGUCAACCCUCUCCAUCUCCUUACUAGAAAAAACCCUAGAAUGCCAAUUUCAUAGUCAAAUUCAUACAAACUCCAUAUUGAUUCUGAAAUUCCAUUUCAAUUAUAAAAAAAAUGGCAUCGGAGAUUGAGGAGGUGCAAUCAAUAAAUGUUGAACUAUCAUCGUCUUCGACGGUGGUUAACGGCGGCGUUGAGGAGGAGAGUUUAACGAACGAUCUAUAUGCUGCAGCUGGACGCCGUGUGUGAUUUUCAGUGCUUAUUUAGCUAUUUUCUCUUAAUUUUUUCGACAAAUGAAUGCUUUACCUAUUUCUUCUGAUUUAGGAUAUGUAUUUUUGCAGCUCUCUUGGUUUUGUAGGUAUGUUUAUGAACUCUUUCUUUCACUACAUGAACAAUCGUUAAUGUUUUCACUUCCAUUUAUCAUAAAAUUCUGAGACUAUCCUUACUUAUGUGGUGACAAAUUCAAGAAUGACAAGUUUGUGCUAAAACAAUUUAGCUUAUAUGGUUUGGGAGAGUUGAGAAUUGUCGGGUCUAUUUUUUUUGGUAUGGGGUCUUGUUUAUACCCAUCAAUUGAUGAUACUAAUUAUGCAAUUUUUUCUUGUCAAAUUAUUGCUACAGAGUGUACUGCUCAUGUUUAAGUCCAGUUGCAAUUUGUUUCUUCAUAUUGUUGAUUCUAUCUUAAAUCUGACCUUCUUGCUAUUAUUGCAGCCUAUCAUUUCUGUUAUUGUAGUGUUUGUCAAUAAAACACUGAUUUAUAGCAGCCCACGAGAUUACACUUGAUAUUAGUUUCAGCCUAUCAUUUUCGUUAUUAUAGCAGCCCAUGAGAUUACAUAUGAUUUAGCAUCUUCAAGGUACAAUUACUACUCAUCUUCUUAAAUUUUAUUUAAUUUCCUUUUCUUAGUGCGUGGCUCUAAACUAAUACUUUCUGCACUUUUCAUAGUAACUAGUCACUGUAAAAUCAGCCCUGUUACUAUGCAUCCAUCUACUUUUAUCCUCCUCUGGGGGUCACUUUAAACAUGUUUUAGACUGUUUAACAGGUUCAGCAGCUGGGUAAUUUCCUACUCAUAGAAACUUCUCCUCAUUAUAAUGUUCUUCCAAUAGUAUCAUAUUUUUAUACUAUAGAAAUGCUGGUUUGGACAUAUCUGUUUGAUGUCAAUACAAAACUAAGUUGAGGGCAUUACAGUCUUUACACAGCAGAUCUAAGAAAAAUGUUCUUCAACCCUAGAAAAGUAGAAAUGAACUGUCACCACAUCAAUUGUUUCACUUUCCCUCUCCCGUUCGACCUUCCUCUACAAUGCUUUACAUCAUCCUUAAUUUUCAUUUUUACAAAGGCUAUGGUGGAGGCAGUUCCAGUUUGUCUCUCUAUUUAUGUCGUUUCGGGUAAAAUUUUCCUAUAUUAUUUCUCAUUCUAGGAUUUUUCUUGUGAUUUAUGAGUUUCUACUCUACCCUAACCAUUGUUAGUUUUGAUUGGAAUUUGGGAGUUCUUCCACAUAACUUGUUUUAUAACUUGUUUUCGUCUAGAUUGGUUGUUUCCUCAAUUAAGAGUCUAUAGUUAGAACCUUUUUUGCUCAUGUAAUAUAUAUAUAUAUAUAUAUAUAUAUAUAUAUAUAUAUAUAUAUAUAUAUAUAUAUAUAGUUUGUACUUUCUUGUCUCCAUAUAAACAAAUGUCAAUACCAUUGUAAAACAGGUGUACUAAAAAGUGCAAAAAAAACUGGCUUUGCUUCACAACUAUGCCAAAAUGCCUCCAAAGAUGGAUCCCUCUCAAGUAAUCUCCAAGCAAAAUAGAAUCAAAGGUAUGAUUUUUAGAGAAUCCAGAAUUUAACCUGUACCUGCAAACAGAAUCGACCUUUUACACGACCAAAAAGAUGUGGUUUUGAACGGUGACUUGGAGACCCUUCCAGUCCUUUGGAAUGUCUUCACCGAUUACAAAGAUUUAGACAUCUGUAUCCCUAUGGAUUUGAGCCUUUUCUCUUCUUUCCUCUUCAACUAAGUCUAUCAUUUAGUAUCUAUCAUUUAGUAUCUUUUUAUGGAUGAUACAUAUAUUUAUUUUUGUCUUUCUUCAUGUUUCUUUGUUAAUUCAGAACAGGAGUUUGAUUGUUUGUUCAAAUGCAGUCUUAUGAAUCUUUUGUGUGUAAGAGCAUGUUCCACUAAUAAACUACUUAACAUUGAUAUUGCUAAGGUGUUUGAUAAUUUUAUGCCUAAAGUAACUAAUCAAAGUUUCUAUUCUUUUCCUUUUUUAACAUAGGAGUUUUACACCUUGAAUAUCAUUCACCAAUUCAAGAGGUAUAUUUUUAAUUACUACUAGACAAUAUUAGUAAGUUAUAUUAGAGAAUUGCUUUUGACAUUUUUUUUCUAUUCGCUUCCACAUUAUUUUGAUUUCAAUUUUCAAUAUAUGAGUUGUCAAAAUACUUGAACAAAUAGUCUACUUUCACUUGAUGAUGCCUUUUUGUACUCCAGAUAUUCUGAAUACAAUCGAGCACCAAAUAUUGAUACAAUUUCAAGAAAAAAUGGCACCUGUUAAUUUUAUUCAUUCAACUGAUGAUGAAUGACUCAUCAGUGAAAAUGAGUAAUGCUUCACUCUUUGAAGCUUGAAAAUACAAACACAUAAGCAUAAACAUCACGUAAACCCCUUUUUAACUACAAAGUCUAUCACACUAAUAUGAAAUUUGAAAUCGAUAAGAUAACCCCAAUGCAUAUCUGAAUGUAUGAUAAGUUGUCAAAAAAGAUCUUGAUUUUAUGUAAUCGGAUGGGAUAUAUCGGAUAUCUAUAUCUUUCGUUCUUAUCUGUUAUUUGGAGUUGUAUGCAGUAUGUUGGAGUUACUGUUUUUAUUUUGUCUGAUCUGAUGAAGGCUAUAUUAUUCCCGUUAAAAUUCAACUGCUUUUAGGAUUUAAUGGAGAAUUACACGUACUUUUGGUGCUUCUACUUUGUUAUUCUCUUUUUAAAAGAAGAAUCUGAAUAUUGUGUAGUUGGCCACUUCAAAAUACAAAAUAUUGUUAGGUUCUAAAAGAAUGCAGCUGUAGUUGUUGAAAAUAUAAAUUUGUAUUCCACCCCAAAUAACAAGAGCCUAACUUAGAUUAAUUUUUCCAAUCGAAGUGCUUGCAAGAAGAUACUAGAUGUGGGAAUAUAAAUAGAAAAAGUGAUCGGAAUUUGAACAAACCAAGAACAACAGGACAAAGAAAAUUAAAUUAACGGUAUAUAUUUUUGAUGCAUUUUAUUCAUGAACAUUUUUACUAUAUCCAAUUGUCCGUUGUUGUUAAUGUCAAUAGUGACUGCUUCAUUGAUCAUUGGAGCAUUUUUUAUGGAUGCAGGUACCCAGUAGUGCUAUGGCUGGCAAUAAUAUGGAAGAUGUUAUUUCUUCAUCCCUUGACAUAAGCAAGGAAAGAUGAAUCUUAAAAGUUGAGCGGCCAACAUAAAAUGAUAGCGCUUUAGAAGUUGAAAUAGGAUUAUGAUGACGAAUUUUGCAACUGACAUUGUUGCUGCUGGAGAUAAGCGCUUCGUAUCGAAAUUUGAGUUUAAACUCUAGAGGCCAUUGCAGUCAUAUUCAGUGGGUCAACUGGAUGUCUUCAAGUUUUGGAAGGGUACAAAGGAGUUUUCAAAGUAUUUCCCUGAUAAAUGAUGCAAACAGUUGGCUUCACACUUCACAUACAAUUUUUUCAUUGCACAUAGAGAGGAGGUGCUUCAAUCUUUACAUAGCAGAAAAUCAUUUGUCUUAUUGCCAAGCUGUGUAUUGUAGUGUGCUCCAAUGGUGACGUACGUGUAUCUAUAGUAGGAACCACUUCAUCAUGAAAUAAGUGAUGUGAAUACGAGGAUACAAAUUCGUUAGUCUUGAUUGAUAUCCUAUACUAUCAUUUAACAGCAGCUCUACACCCCUCCCAAAAAGAAAAUGGAAUUUCUAAAUUCAAUAUGCCAGCAUGGGCCAUUGCCCCCUAGUACUAGUAUAAACCUUCAUAAUUCUAAUACAAUCAGGUAUAAGAAGUAUGAGUUGUCUCUUUGUCGGGAUAAUACUCAACUCUUUUUUCUUUCUUCUUUAUCCGAGUAAGCACCAAUAUUUACAAUAUCUAAACUCCUUUGGAUAAACUUAACUCUUUUUUUUUCUUCUUCAUCCCGGUAAGCCUAGGUUUUUUCCCCUCAUGUUUGACAAGAAGAUACUGGUGCAGUGCAGGUUUUGGGGAAUAUAUUGAAGAAGUAUAUGCUGCAUAUGAACAACACAAACUAGAGACCACGGUAACUUCUUUUUUCUUUAUCAUCUUACUUUAGUUUUAAUGUAUGGACGACCUAUUAUUCCAGCUUCUCUGUUGAACUGCCAUCCCUUUCAAUUUCUCAUAGAGCUCUCAUCUUAUCGGUUUCUUUUCAUCUAUCUUCUCCGCCCCCGGCCAUAUUAAUUUUUAGUUUCUUUUACCAACUGCUUUAUAUGUUUUUCCUUUUUGCUCUAUUGUGACUUCAUGAUUACUUUGAUAUUUUCAAAUAAAUGCUUCUUAAGGUGCAUCUCCAUUGCAGUUUUUAGGUUAAAGAUAAUGUUAGCUAUAGACAACAAUUAUUUUUAUUUGAGUGGAGACAUACAUGAUGAAUAAUUGGAGGUUUCAUUAGAUUGUGUAAUGCUCUUUGUUUUCAGCUCUAUUUAUGUACAUGAAGAUUAAGUGGUUCGUUAGAUUGUGUAAUUUGCUCGAUAUCUAGCUCUCAAAAUAGUUUGGUGAUAAGGUUAAUAACUUUACUUUUUCCCUGUAAUCUUGAAAUCUGUAAUUGGACUAUAUAUGAAAAUGGCAUUCUUUGGAGGAGAAGAAAGAUACAGUAUCCAGAUUUUCUUCUCCAAUAUGUUAUAUUUUAUAUACAAUCUGAUCUUUAUAAUUUACUAUAGAGAUUUUACUUUUUGUAUUUUUACCGGGGUUAGAAGAGUUUCAAGGACAAGUCAAGAUGGGAAUUUUGAAGACUUCAUACAAGUUGAGAAAUUGGUUGUCAUUUUCUUAGGAGAAUAUAUUUUAUUUGGCUUAGAGGUUGUGUAAACAAUACCAUGACAUGUGCAUUGUGGUUAUACCACUACAAUGGGAUGUUAAUACCCUUUUUUUCUAUAACAGUUACCAAUUUCAGAUUUUUAAAUGCAUAUUUGUUUAUGAAA